This 253-nucleotide ribosomal RNA is filed under the name uncultured bacterium. RNAcentral's name for it is "partial 16S ribosomal RNA". It matches the Rfam family "Bacterial small subunit ribosomal RNA", at positions 524 to 776 of the family's 1533-position model. The record is from RNAcentral.
UACGGGGGGGGCAAGCGUUGUUCGGAAUUACUGGGCGUAAAGGGCUCGUAGGCGGCCAACUAAGUCGGAUGUGAAAUCCCCAGGCUUAACCUGGGAACUGCAUCCGAUACUGGAUGGCUUGAAUUCGGGAGAGGGAUGCAGAAUUCCAGGUGUAGCGGUGAAAUGCGUAGAUAUCUGGAGGAAUACCGGUGGCGAAGGCGACAUACUGGACACAUAUUGACGCUGAGGUGCGAAAGCGUGGGGAGCAAACAGG